GAUGAACGCUGGCGGCGUGCCUAAUACAUGCAAGUCGAGCGAACGGACGAGAAGCUUGCUUCUCUGAUGUUAGCGGCGGACGGGUGAGUAACACGUGGAUAACCUACCUAUAAGACUGGGAUAAAUUCGGGAAACCGGAGCUAAUACCGGAUAAUAUUUUGAACCGCAUGGUUCAAAAGUGAAAGACGGUCUUGCUGUCACUUAUAGAUGGAUCCGCGCUGCAUUAGCUAGUUGGUAAGGUAACGGCUUACCAAGGCAACGAUGCAUAGCCGACCUGAGAGGGUGAUCGGCCACACUGAAACUGAGACACGGUCCAGACUCCUACGGGAGGCAGCAGUAGGGAAUCUUCCGCAAUGGGCGAAAUCCUGACGGAGCAACGCCGCGUGAGUGAUGAAGGUCUUCGGAUCGUAAAACUCUGUUAUUAGGGAAGAACAUAUGUGUAAGUAACUGUGCACAUCUUGACGGUACCUAAUCAGAAAGCCACGGCUAACUACGUG
RNAcentral lists this ribosomal RNA (497 nucleotides) under uncultured bacterium. RNAcentral's name for it is "partial 16S ribosomal RNA". It matches the Rfam family "Bacterial small subunit ribosomal RNA", at positions 28 to 507 of the family's 1533-position model. The record is from RNAcentral.